Mauremys reevesii (Reeves's turtle) is the source of this 1483-nucleotide long non-coding RNA. RefSeq lists it as uncharacterized. Lineage: Eukaryota; Metazoa; Chordata; Testudines; Geoemydidae. The transcript has 4 exons. The record is from RefSeq and is a predicted model, not a curated record.
AAUCUGCAGUCAAUGCAUCAGAGAAGGGAGGGGUGUUUGCAACUAUAGAAGGUAGUCUACAGUUACUCCCUAGGAGAAGGGAGUUUAGGCUGGCAAACCCAGACAAGGGGGAAAGCCUAAAAGGCUCAGGGGAAAAGCAGCAAGGAAUAGGAUAGUGCAGCCCUUGGCUGCUGAGGAGAGAAUCUCUCAGUUGGAACCUGGAGUAGAGGGCAGGCCUGGGUUCCCCUACCAGCCACUGGGGAAAUGGCAUAGACCAAGCGGUGGAGAGUGGACUGUCUGAGACAACUCAUGGUUUGAUACCCUGGAAGGGAGUAACCUGGCUUGGGGGCUGAAUUGCAAAGAGGAGGCAGUGGCUCCUGGGGCAACAGAGGGGUGAAAGAGACAGAAUGUGGCAGAGCAACUGCAGGAAGGGGUGUCAGCUGGCAGAGCUAAUCCCCAGACGUGCCAGGAGGCGGAACCCUCCAGUGGCUCUGCCGCCUUCCCCUGCAGAGACCCCAGAUCCAAGGAGCACCAUCCGUAAUAUCCAGGAUGCCUGAGAGAGAAGUAGUGCCAGAAAGAUGCCUGACAUCCCUACCACCUUCGGCACAGGAGGGUAACACCUGAGGACACGGAAAUAUGGCUUUACACAGAAAAGAAACAGCCCUCCACACUCACAAAUAUCCAUGUUCAUAGAUUCAUGGCUUUUAAAGUUUCUCCUCUCACUCCAGACAGAUGAACUAUUCUAAUACGAAGAUUAAACCCAACUGUACCGCGGCCACACACUUAAAUCACAUGGUAGAUGGCAAAUCAACUAACGUCGCCUGAACCAAAACUAUUACGUGUAACGGAUUGCUGCAUAAUUUGAAUCUUCCAGGACAUGGAGGGCUCAGAGCUAGAAGUGCAUGUCUGCAGUAGUCAAUUGUGGAUGGGAGCAACUUGGCUGUUAUGAAAGGAGAUGCAUAAGUGAGAGAGGAUUGGAGGAAUAAUGGGUGGAAAAAAUGAUGUGAAAAAGUACAUUAAUGACAACAGAGUGAGAAGAGAAAGAAAGGCACCGUUUUUUCUCAGGGUUACAGAGAAGAAAAGCAUAAGAAAAUUCUGUAUCUGCUUAAAGCCUUUGAAGCUAUAUUUAGGCCCCAUCUACAAUUUACUGAACAUUGUAUAAACCUUGUAUGCACUUCCAGAUAACAGUUUAAAUACGGUUUUGGCCAGCUACGAUGAACAUAACCAGACUGAAUGCUGUUGAGAGUAUUUAUUAUUUAUUUCAGUUUCCAAAAUGUGUUCUGGUUACAUGUAUGUCAGUACACAAACAGCAGUUAGGACCAGUGUCUAACAAUUAGACUCUCCACAAAUUCCCAGAAUUCUCCUGGCCAUCACACAACAGACACCCAACUCCUCCUCCUCUCUCCCUCCUUCCUUACAACAAUUCAUUCCUCCUCCACAUGAGAGAAGCUUAUAUCUAAAAUUAGUUAAAAUCACACCUUUACCCCCACCCAUACUAGCUGGA